UACGGAGGGUGCAAGCGUUAUCCGGAAUCAUUGGGUUUAAAGGGUCCGCAGGCGGUCAAUUAAGUCAGAGGUGAAAUACCGUCGCUUAACGACGGAACUGCCUUUGAUACUGGUUGACUUGAGUCAUAUGGAAGUAGAUAGAAUGUGUAGUGUAGCGGUGAAAUGCUUAGAUAUUACACAGAAUACCGAUUGCGAAGGCAGUCUACUACGUAUUGACUGACGCUCAUGGACGAAAGCGUGGGGAGCGAACAGG
This 253-nucleotide ribosomal RNA is filed under the name uncultured bacterium. RNAcentral describes it as "partial 16S ribosomal RNA". It matches the Rfam family "Bacterial small subunit ribosomal RNA", at positions 524 to 776 of the family's 1533-position model. The record is from RNAcentral.